Papaver somniferum (opium poppy) is the source of this 505-nucleotide long non-coding RNA. RefSeq lists it as uncharacterized. The transcript is spliced from 2 exons. Lineage: Eukaryota; Viridiplantae; Streptophyta; Magnoliopsida; Ranunculales; Papaveraceae. The record is from RefSeq and is a predicted model, not a curated record.
UUCUUCUCUGUUCGUUUCCUGUUGUUUUUAAGAGUCGAGAGAGAGAUUCUGAGAUUGAGAUAAGAAGAGGUUAAGCAAGAAUAAAGUGAUGUUGGUGAUGAUUCAGAAUCGAUAAAAAAAGUUAAUCUUCAUUAACAACGAUCGAUCUAAAAGAUGAACCAGUGGAUUGAGGAUUUCAAGGUAGUAGUGGCUUUCCUUCAGAAUCGGGUGGGAACUCUUGUAACCUUCUUGUAAUCAUUAAGUUUCUUUUCAACAACGAGCAUGAUGUGCCUUUACUUCUCGUUAGAAUAUUUGUGUGUAAUCAAGUGGGUAUGAGUUAUGAUAUGUGUUACCUAGUAUCCUCGCAGGGAGUGUCUAUGGAUUUCCCACGUCUCCUUGCUAAGUCUUAUUCAGCACGGGAAGUGUAAAUAUUAUAUAGCACGGGAAGUGCAAUAUAGCUAUAUCAGCACAAGGGUGUAAAUAUUAUUACUUUUUAUUUUAUAUCGUAAAAUUAUGUUUUUAUUCA